RNAcentral lists this long non-coding RNA (1202 nucleotides) under Junco hyemalis (dark-eyed junco). RNAcentral's name for it is "lncRNA (ENSJHYG00000006337.1)". The record is from RNAcentral. Lineage: Eukaryota; Metazoa; Chordata; Aves; Passeriformes; Passerellidae.
CAAAAGUGGUUGGGUAUGGUGGGGAGAGCAGAUGGACAUCACAGCUGCAGGAGUCCCAUCCCUUCCAAAAUCAGGAUAAAAAUGGAGCUGCUACACUCCCCUGGGACUUACAUAAAUCAGAUUUAUGGUUCCUCAUGCUGCUACCAUGAACCAAUACCAGGAAAUGCUCAGACACACAGUCCAAAGGCACUGGAAAGAAAAGGGUUCCUUCAGAGCUAUGAUUUAGAGUGUCUAAAGUUAAGCUCCUGCUCUGAGUCGCCCCCCAAACCUCCCUAUCACUGACGCACAUUCUCAUUGAAGUGAACCUUUGUGAAUUCCUCCUUUGUCAUUGAAAUAUGAAAUGCACAUACACUGUACAGCAAAAUGAAUAACCAGAUAAAAUGCUGCCACUGGGAUGUCUCAAAAUGUGAGCUUUCUGUUCUAUUCUGGAUGUUGUCAGGAGUCUAUGGAGAAUGUUGGAGUCAAACAUGACAUAUAGAAUCUGGAUUUUUAGGUGUUUGUGAUGGAAAUUUGAGUCUACCACAGUCUAUUAAUGUGCCAGUGACCAUCAGCUAGUAAUUAGAUUCUCAAAAAAAUAGCAGGGCUGGGAACUGAUGGCCUGCAGAAACCCUGGUGAAGAAGGAGGAGGGCAAAGUAUAUGGGCAGAGAUGGUUUAGUGUAAUUUUCACCUUUGAAAUUUUAAGCUGCUUCCAAAGGUGAUAAAGUAACCAAACAAGAUGUCCCUACUGCAUCCAAUACUGCUCAACAUCUUCAUUAUUAACCCGGAAGAUGGAUGUAGACUGCUGUGAUGGUUUAACAGCAGCUGGGAAUCAAACUCCAAAUAGGCCGCUCCCCUUCCCCCUGUCCCCCUCUGGUGAGGGAGGGACAAAGGAUUGACUGUGGGUUGAGAUAACAAUUUACUGAAGGCAAACAGCAAUGGAGUAAGAAACACAGUGACAACAGCAAUGCUAAUAACAAAAGUGUACAGAAAGAGAAGGUGCUUUAUACACAAAAGGCAUUCACCACCUUGACUUAGCUCUGCAUGGCCACUGAGACAAAGACAAGAUGGCAGGGGGAUGUACCUGCAGCUCAGCAGUGAUGUUUAUUUAUUUCUGAGGCAAAGACAGGAUGAUAGAUAUCCAGAUGUUCCUGUGGCUCAGCAGUGACACAGGGCUGUUUCCAAGACAAGAUGGCAGGACGACGUUCCUGCACCCAGCGCCACA